ACGUUGGUUAUUAAGAAAUGUAUAGAUUUUCUUUUAUCGGUGAAGUCAUUUAAACAUUUUCCAAAAAUAGUUUCUGUUUCAAGGCAUAUAGUUAGUACAUAGUUACUUUGUACAUAACUGACUUUAAUCCAUAAACAUUAAUGUCUCAACUCAAUGUCCGUUUUAAGCAUAGAUCAAAAACAAUAGUUCCAGAUAGUAACGGCGGGAAUGAUAACAAAUCUUAUCAAAAAUUAC
Molecule: non-coding RNA, 234 nt
Organism: Cinara cedri
Lineage: Eukaryota; Metazoa; Arthropoda; Insecta; Hemiptera; Aphididae
Source: the annotation of a GenBank genome assembly